RNAcentral lists this long non-coding RNA (559 nucleotides) under Daucus carota (carrot). RNAcentral's name for it is "long non-coding RNA (DCAR_LNC006920)". The record is from RNAcentral. Lineage: Eukaryota; Viridiplantae; Streptophyta; Magnoliopsida; Apiales; Apiaceae.
UCACCAAUAUAGAUUAUAGACUUAUAAUCGGCUUUUAAUUGCAUAUGUCCUUGAAAUUAUAGAAAUCCCUGUCUUUGUCGCAACUGCCCCCUUGCUCGCAAGUAUGUAUAGACACAAUUUUUUGUAUGUAUGCACAACGCAGAGAAUCUAGGGCUUGUGAAUUUUGAUUUACUUGCAACUGGAUCGGCUGUAAGUAUAUGUGUGUUUUUGUUUUGUGUGUGUUUGUAAUCUGAAGCACAGCUUUGUGAUUUUUCCAGCUAAUUCAAUCUGAUCAGUUUUGCUGCUGAUCAUCAGGUGAAUCUUGCUCCGUGUUUACUUAUAGUUCUGUAUGUGUUGCAGUUUAGUAGAAAAGAGAAGGUGUGUCUAUGUGUGUUGAUGGAUGUAUGUGUAUCUAUGUUUGUUGUAAUUGGAACUUGUGUUUGUGUUUAGGGAAUCACAUAUGAGAGAGAGAGAAAGAGAGAGAGAGAGAGAGGUAGUGAGGGAGGGAGGGAGGGAGAGAGAGGAGGGAUAUACUGUGUGUGUUUAAAGGGAAUUAUCAAACAUAAAGGGGAGGGAGAGG